CAGCCGCCACGGUAAAACGGAGGGGGCUAGCGUUGUUCGGAAUUACUGGGCGUAAAGCGCACGUAGGCGGUUUUGUAAGUCAGGGGUGGAAGCCCGGAGCUCAACUCCGGAACUGCCUCUGAGACUGCAUCACUUGAACGUCGGAGAGGUGAGUGGAAUUCCGAGUGUAGAGGUGUAAUUCGUAGAUAUUCGGAAGAACACCAGUGGCGAAGGCGGCUCACUGGACGACUGUUGACGCUGAGGUGCGAAAGCGUGGGGAGCAAACAGGAUUAGAUACCCCCGUAGUCCCUGUCUCUUAUAC
Molecule: ribosomal RNA, 301 nt
Filed under: uncultured bacterium
Lineage: Bacteria
Description: partial 16S ribosomal RNA
Rfam family: Bacterial small subunit ribosomal RNA
Source: RNAcentral